This 200-nucleotide unclassified non-coding RNA is filed under the name soil metagenome. RNAcentral's name for it is "partial contains internal transcribed spacer 2 and large subunit ribosomal RNA". The record is from RNAcentral.
CCUGUUCGAGCGUCAUUUAACCACUCACGCCUAGCGUGGUAUUGGGGCACGCGGUCUCGCGGCCCUCAAAAUUAGUGGCGGCGCCGGUGGGCUCUAAGCGUAGUACAUACUCCCGCUACAGAGUUCCCCCGGUGGCUCGCCACGAACCCCAUUUUUUACAGGUUGACCUCGGAUCAGGUAGGGAUACCCGCUGAACUUAA